GAUGAAGAACGUAGCGAAAUGCGAUAAGUAAUGUGAAUUGCAGAAUUCAGUGAAUCAUCGAAUCUUUGAACGCACCUUGCGCUCCUUGGUAUUCCGAGGAGCAUGCCUGUUCGAGCGUCAUUUAAACCUUCAAGCUCAGCUUGGUGUUGGGUGACUGUCCGCUUCACCGCGGACUCGCCUCAAAAUUAUUGGCGGCCGGUACAUUGGCUCUCGAGCGCAGCAGAAACGCGUAACUCGAGGUCCUCGUGCUGGCUCCCAGAAGCUAUCUUCACAAUUUUGACCUCGGAUCAGGUAGGGAUACCCGCUGAACUUAAGCAUAUCAAUAAGCGGAGGA
RNAcentral lists this unclassified non-coding RNA (334 nucleotides) under soil metagenome. Its description in RNAcentral is "partial contains 5.8S ribosomal RNA, internal transcribed spacer 2, and large subunit ribosomal RNA". The stretch from base 1 to 120 matches the Rfam family "5.8S ribosomal RNA", at positions 35 to 154 of the family's 154-position model. The record is from RNAcentral.